Molecule: ribosomal RNA, 532 nt
Filed under: uncultured fungus
Lineage: Eukaryota; Fungi
Description: eukaryotic LSU rRNA
Rfam family: 5.8S ribosomal RNA (bases 193-346)
Source: RNAcentral
AAGUCGUAACAAGGUCUCCGUAGGUGAACCUGCGGAGGGAUCAUUACUGAGUGAGGGCCUUCGGGCUCGACCUCCAACCCUUUGUGAACACAACUUGUUGCUUCGGGGGCGACCCUGCCGUUUCGACGGCGAGCGCCCCCGGAGGCCUUCAAACACUGCAUCUUUGCGUCGGAGUUUAAGUAAAUUAAACAAAACUUUCAACAACGGAUCUCUUGGUUCUGGCAUCGAUGAAGAACGCAGCGAAAUGCGAUAAGUAAUGUGAAUUGCAGAAUUCAGUGAAUCAUCGAAUCUUUGAACGCACAUUGCGCCCCUUGGUAUUCCGAGGGGCAUGCCUGUUCGAGCGUCAUUUCACCACUCAAGCCUCGCUUGGUAUUGGGCGCCGCGGUGUUCCGCGCGCCUCAAAGUCUCCGGCUGAGCUGUCCGUCUCUAAGCGUUGUGAUUUCAUUAAUCGCUUCGGAGCGCGGGCGGUCGCGGCCGUUAAAUCUUUCACAAGGUUGACCUCGGAUCAGGUAGGGAUACCCGCUGAACUUAA